This 433-nucleotide ribosomal RNA is filed under the name uncultured bacterium. RNAcentral's name for it is "bacterial SSU rRNA". It matches the Rfam family "Bacterial small subunit ribosomal RNA", at positions 917 to 1350 of the family's 1533-position model. The record is from RNAcentral.
GGGCCCGCACAAGCGGUGGAGUAUGUGGUUUAAAUUCGAUGCAACGCGAAGAACCUUACCAGGGUUUGACAUCCUGCGAAUCUCUUGGAAACAGGAGAGUGCCUUCGGGAACGCAGUGACAGGCGGUGCAUGGCUGUCGUCAGCUCGUGUCGUGAGAUGUUGGGUUAAGUCCCGCAACGAGCGCAACCCACGUCUUUAGUUGCCAGCAUUUAGUUGAGGACUCUAAUGAAACUGCCGGUGAUAAACCGGAGGAAGGUGUGGAUGACGUCAAGUCAUCAUGCCCCUUACAUCCUGGGCUACACACGUACUACAAUGCUACGGACAAAGGGCAGCAAGUUCGCGAGGACAAGCAAAUCCCAUAAACCGUGGCUCAGUUCAGAUCGUAGGCUGCAACUCGCCUACGUGAAGGCGGAAUCGCUAGUAAUCGCAGGUC